This 1437-nucleotide ribosomal RNA is filed under the name uncultured organism. Its description in RNAcentral is "16S ribosomal RNA". It matches the Rfam family "Bacterial small subunit ribosomal RNA". The record is from RNAcentral.
UCAGGAUGAACGCUAGCUACAGGCUUAACACAUGCAAGUCCAGGGGCAGCAUUUUAGUUUGCUUGCAAACUAAAGAUGGCGACCGGCGCACGGGUGAGUAACACGUAUCCAACCUGCCGAUAACUCGGGGAUAGCCUUUCGAAAGAAAGAUUAAUAUCCGAUAGUAUAUUAAAACCGCAUGGUUUUACUAUUAAAGAAUUUCGGUUAUCGAUGGGGAUGCGUUCCAUUAGUUUGUUGGCGGGGUAACGGCCCACCAAGACUACGAUGGAUAGGGGUUCUGAGAGGAAGGUCCCCCACAUUGGAACUGAGACACGGUCCAAACUCCCACGGGAGGCAGCAGUGAGGAAUAUUGGUCAAUGGACGAGAGUCUGAACCAGCCAAGUAGCGUGAAGGAUGACUGCCCUAUGGGUUGUAAACUUCUUUUAUAUGGGAAUAAAGUAUUCCACGUGUGGGAUUUUGUAUGUACCAUAUGAAUAAGGAUCGGCUAACUCCGUGCCAGCAGCCGCGGUAAUACGGAGGAUCCGAGCGUUAUCCGGAUUUAUUGGGUUUAAAGGGAGCGUAGGUGGAUUGUUAAGUCAGUUGUGAAAGUUUGCGGCUCAACCGUAAAAUUGCAGUUGAAACUGGCAGUCUUGAGUACAGUAGAGGUGGGCGGAAUUCGUGGUGUAGCGGUGAAAUGCUUAGAUAUCACGAAGAACUCCGAUUGCGAAGGCAGCUCACUAGACUGCAACUGACACUGAUGCUCGAAAGUGUGGGUAUCAAACAGGAUUAGAUACCCUGGUAGUCCACACAGUAAACGAUGAAUACUCGCUGUUUGCGAUAUACAGUAAGCGGCCAAGCGAAAGCAUUAAGUAUUCCACCUGGGGAGUACGCCGGCAACGGUGAAACUCAAAGGAAUUGACGGGGGCCCGCACAAGCGGAGGAACAUGUGGUUUAAUUCGAUGAUACGCGAGGAACCUUACCCGGGCUUAAAUUGCAUUUGAAUAAUCUGGAAACAGGUUAGCCGCAAGGCAAAUGUGAAGGUGCUGCAUGGUUGUCGUCAGCUCGUGCCGUGAGGUGUCGGCUUAAGUGCCAUAACGAGCGCAACCCUUAUCUUUAGUUACUAACAGGUCAUGCUGAGGACUCUAGAGAGACUGCCGUCGUAAGAUGUGAGGAAGGUGGGGAUGACGUCAAAUCAGCACGGCCCUUACGUCCGGGGCUACACACGUGUUACAAUGGGGGGUACAGAAGGCAGCUACCUGGCGACAGGAUGCUAAUCCCAAAAACCUCUCUCAGUUCGGAUCGAAGUCUGCAACCCGACUUCGUGAAGCUGGAUUCGCUAGUAAUCGCGCAUCAGCCAUGGCGCGGUGAAUACGUUCCCGGGCCUUGUACACACCGCCCGUCAAGCCAUGAAAGCCGGGGGUACCUGAAGUACGUAACCGCAAGGAGCGUCCUAGGGUA